This 301-nucleotide ribosomal RNA is filed under the name uncultured bacterium. Its description in RNAcentral is "partial 16S ribosomal RNA". It matches the Rfam family "Bacterial small subunit ribosomal RNA", at positions 509 to 809 of the family's 1533-position model. The record is from RNAcentral.
CAGUAGCCGCGGGAAUACGAAGGGUGCAAGCGUUAAUCGGAAUUACUGGGCGUAAAGCGUGCGUAGGCGGUGAGUUAAGUCUGCUGUGAAAUCCCCGGGCUCAACCUGGGAAUGGCAGUGGAUACUGGCUCGCUAGAGUGUGUCAGAGGAUGGUGGAAUUCCCGGUGUAGCGGUGAAAUGCGUAGAGAUCGGGAGGGACAUCAGUGGCGAAAGCGGCCAUCUGGGACAACACUGACGCUGAGGCACGAGAGCGUGGGGAGCAAACAGGAUUAGAGACCCCUGUAGUCCCUGUCUCUUACAC